UGAAGCACUUCUUCAGAACCUGGCCUGUACGUACUGCAUCUCCCAUGCUGCACCGCAGCUCCACUGACGAGUCGUUACCCACCAGAGCAUGGAACUCUGGGACACCUGAUGGAUGCGCACACACAAAUGCACGAGUUCCUAACCGAAAUCAAUCCAUGAUCACCCUAUGGGACUUAGGGACUCACAUUUAAGGAAUCCCAGGAUCUCCUCCACUGGUCUGAAGCCACAGAGGCCCUGGAAGUGGGUGAGCGCAAUGGCCAUCUCUGGCUUGUGGUUGUUGUCUGGAUAGUGUUCCGGAAACUGAGCAUGGAGACGAGCGGCUAACUCCUGAGCAAACGAUGAUGACAGAAAGGUCAAUGGUCACAACCUCAAACAAACUGUGCUAAAUAAUGUGGCAUACAGUAUGCUCAAAAUAUUACUGUGCCUGCAGUUCAUCGUAAAACAAUUCAAACCUUGUUUCUAAGGAUACAUGUAGAUUUCUGCACAUCACUAUCUUGGUAACUGUUGGAUGGCAGUGCUUAAAUUUGUCUUCAAUUAUUUUGAAUGCCCUUAAUUCCAAAUAUACAUUUCAGGACACAGCAUUAUAAAAAUGUGAUAGUUUAAAAUGUGUUUAACGACUUAGGAUUUUAGACGAGGAAUUUAGGAUUUUAUCGAAUUUAAUACUGAAUCGUAAUAUACGUUUUAAAUUGCAGAGUAAAUGUGAUAAUUUAAUGCACCCCAAUAUAUAGUCCUCUUUUCGUAGUAAAGGCAACAGGUCUUUAAAUAUUAGCAUUGCGUUUUUAUAAAGUUGUCAAAGUUGUGUUUUGCUCGCAUCAACUAAUGUACCCUUGGGUUGUUGCUCCCUCUGGAGCCACAACUUGUAUUUAUACAUAUGCAUUAGUACCCCGCCCAGACCUGUAAAUAGACUAAAGUGUAAAAUUGUGAGUAAGAAUGUCUACAGUUGGUGUGAACUCAUAACAUAUUGUGUGUGGUAAAGAAUAACAUGGUAUAUUUAAUUAUUCAUGGAAUACUGCUGAUUCAAACAUAGAAACUACUAAAAAAAUGUUAUCUGCUGAACAGUGUCCCGGUAUUUGAACAUUGUGUAGGUGUGUGUUUGUGAACUCACUCUGUUGGGGUGGGCCUGUAUGGACAGAGCUGUGUUGACAGAGAGCACUUUGAAGAGGAAGGGCAGCUGACCCUGGAAGGUGUCCUUAACCUUGGAGCCCAGACAGGCAGGGAAGUGGGCGAUCCACUGGCCCAGUGUGGUCUGCGCAAUCCUGUUGUCUUUAAUCUGGGCAUCGCCUUUUGGGUGGGCGCCCAUCCAGAGCUGAAACAGGAAGCAUUACUCUGGUGUUAGUAUAUUAGUUAGUGUCCUGGGUCAGUCCUGAACUUCUUUUUUCCAGGGACUCAGUAGGACUCAGAAGACAUGCACCCUGCAUGUCUAGGAGCCAAACUUAAUAUUUAGCCGAUGUUGGUUAAUUGUUUAUUUAGGCAGCAGAUAUUACCUUUAUCAUAACGUCUGGGUAAGAGGGACAGGGGGUGUGGUUUCUCUUUUCUUUUUCACAAGUUUAAUUAGUUUGGCCGGUUACAUACAAAAAGCACACAGUAGGACUCUGAUAUUUUUCUGUUGAUCGUCAUGUUUGCUAUAAGUUUAAGUGUCAAUAAAAGCUACAGAAUGCA
Molecule: long non-coding RNA, 1659 nt
Organism: Hippoglossus stenolepis (Pacific halibut)
Lineage: Eukaryota; Metazoa; Chordata; Actinopteri; Pleuronectiformes; Pleuronectidae
Exons: 2
Source: RefSeq, a predicted model, not a curated record